CGCACACACAUUACUAGCAUUCUGUCGAUUUUAAAAUGUAUAGAAAAAUUGGAGGACUUAAUUUUACUAAUAGUUGAAAAAAACGUGGUGAUAAUUACACAGUUAAUUUGUUUAGCCGCAAAUCAUGGUAAAAAAUCGCGUGAAAUUGCAAAAAUGUCAACGAACCAGUGUUGUUUCGUUUGUCUUUUUUUAUGCGAUAUCAGCAUAUGUCGACAAUAUGCUCGUGGAGAUGCGCAAUUACAUCACGAUAAUCUUUGUAAACCGACAAUUACAUGAAUAACGUGAAUAGACAUUGAGAAUGAACAUUUCAUCCGCUUUCAUCGUUUGUUUAUUGAGUUUGUUAAGUUUAGUAUAAUGGAAAAAUCAGAUGAAGAAGUCUUGUUUAACGGAUGUAAUAAAAUUUUUUUUCUAACCUAGAGAAAUAAAAAAUUAAUGUUUAAUAGUUUGAAGAUAUUAUAAAUAUCAAUAAUAUCUGAUAUUUAUUCGUAUUUUUCAAUCGAUUGUUCUUUAAUAAUAAUGACAUACAAAAGAAAGAGCGAAGAAUUUUCCAUAAUCGCAUAAAAGGAAAUGAUGCAUUCAUCGACUUAUAAUAUAUCCAAUAGCAAAAGAGGAAUUCCCAAUUUCAUCAGGUCGCACAGCUACAUCUACAGAUAUCUAAGAGGUAACGAGGAGUCAUUCUGACGCAAUAGGGAGACAACGCGAGUCACGAUCGGUCAAGAGUUUCCUAUUGAAAUACCCCUGAUGGACGAAAUUGCAUUUCCGCAACUAUCAUUUUUUUUUUGACUGCGAUACCUUGUCUCCAUCAAUAAGAAAAAUUAGCUAUAAGAUUUAGUCAUUCAAAAAUAUUGAAUGAAACAGCUGAGGUCGAAGAAUGUGAAAUGAAAGUCAAUAGAAGAUAAAAAACAAUACUUGAUUGGCUGAUUAUGGAGAAAAUUAUAGCUUGAAGCGAUUCUACAAACAAGUUAUAAGCAAGAGGUGGAGAAAUAGGAGGAGCGAUUAAUUUUUGCGCUUAAUCGAAACGCCUAUCAGCAUUGUGGAUGAUGAUGUUAUGUGAAUGGAACGAAUUAUAUAUUGUUUUUCUUGGUGAUAUCAUAUGCUUCAGAUUCGAAUUUAUCUAAUAAUCUUCGAAUAAAUUGCCAAUAAGGAAACCAUUUGGCAGCGAUUAUAGUAAUCGAUUUAAUAAUAAUUUCUAUACAGAUAUAAAUUUAAUGAAGUAAUAUAUUAAUAAGGAAAAUAUUUUAUUUAUCUAAUGAAUUUUAUGAUAUAAAUAAUACAUGUUAAUUACUUGAUAUUAUUUUUAAUUAAUUUAAAUUCUUGUUUGAAAGAUAUUGUAAAGAAAUAUGUACAAGAUUCUAAAAUAAUAUUAAUAUUAUAAUAUUUUAUUGUUACAAAUAUUGAUAAUCCAUUAAUUGAUUUAAUUUGUUUUUAUAUUUUUUUUACAUAUUUCUUCAAAUAUACAAAAAUUCGAUACUAAACACAAAUGUUCAAUCAAUUCUCAAUUUUAUAGUAUUCUUCGGUUUUCUUUGAACUUUUCUUUCGUUAAUACUCUUCAAGAAAUCUGUAGAAUCCUUCACUGGUAAUUAUCUUAUCGUAAAACGUCGUUCAACCGACAUUCAAAAGAUUCCUGAUGAAUUACGAGAAUCAUAAUGCAACGAUACGUGUGCAUUUGCGGCGCAUAGGUGAUUCGACCUCGUCACCUCGCCAUAGCUCGCAUGACUGUUCUAACGUUGACACCCGCUAAAUAAAUCAAUCGUGUUCAUGCGAGAAGAAGGAUGCUCGAAGGACUAGAGAAGAACGUUGAAACGGAAAGUUCAUGCCAACUUGUGAAUCAUGAUAUUAGCAAGAUAUUGUUGAAACCAUUCAGGCCAACUAUUUCGAUUAGCCAAUACCUAAUAUUGGCUCCUCUUUACUUUUCCAAACAAAUUAUGCGUUUCUUGUUUAAUAUGAGUUGUCAAAGAUAGUGUGAAAAUUACUCACACUUAAAAAAAAAUCUUAAUUAAAAGGAAAAUUUCUAUUUCCUCUAUCUGGAUCCAAUAUCUGGAUUCUCUUCUACAAUUCUUUUCUCUUCUUAACUAAUAAUAGUGAAUUGAUAAGUGAACAAAUAUAGAUAUUAUUAUAAUUUUAUAUGAAAGAAACAUUAAUCAAAUUAGAUUAAUUUAGAAUUUAUAAAAUUUUAUUUAUUUUUAUUACAAAAUUUAAUAUUGCUAUAAGAUAAAUAUAAGAUAAUUUAUUAAUAUUGAUAACAUAUAAUUUAUGAUUUUUAUUAUUAAUUUUAUUUAGUAAUAAUUCAAUUAGGUAGAAAUGCAAGAAUCUUUUUCAAACAAAUGAUUAAAAAUUUAGUUUAUUGUUGAUAUAGAUGAUUCAUGAAAACUAUUAAUCGCAAUAAUUUUUUUGAUUAAAUAAUUCUAAUAAUCAAAAGAAAAAACAGAAAUAAAUGAUUCAAAGGAGAUUUCAUUAAACUGGGUAAGAUAAUGCCCGCUGGCAUUUGAAUCUUACGGUGAAAUUACAUAAUACAAUAACUGGAAGAAGGUAUAAAGAGAGAAAGUGUAUUAAAUAGUUAAUUACAAAGCCAAUGCGUUUCAGCGUUAAUUGAAUAACAGUGAAAUUUCGUGUUUGAAUUUUUUUUCACGGCCACAAUGUUCACGUAAUUGAAGAAAGAAAAGGAAGUUGAAUUCGUGAUUGUUCUCUCUCUGGAUGCUAUCGAUAAUUUAUCCAGCACGAAUGAAAUAAAUCGAUCGAUACAAGUUUUAUGUACAAUGGAUGAUUCAUGACUGCAAGGCUAGACGACAUUUUCGAGCCACCAUUAAAAAUCCACUAUGUAGACGCAAUAGUACUUGUAUAUCGGUGGAGGCUCGUCUGCCGACAGUGUGGUGGCAUUUAACCGAUCCAUGCCAUCGUGUUCGCUAGUUCUAUUACGCAACUAGUGCCUUUAAGCCGGCGGCAACGAUUGUGACGACGACGUCGACGACAACGAAGAUGACAACAGCAACAUCGACCUCAUGUGGUUCAGCUUAGAUUCUUACGAAAUUUUUAAUUCUCACGUGGAUUUCUUAUUAGAGAUGGAAUUAAGCUCAAUAUAUAUUUAUAAAUUUGAAUCAAUUUUAAUAAGGAUUAACAAUCAAUAUAUUAUUGAAUAUGAUUCAAUAUAUAAGCUAAUUAUUUCUGGCUUGAAUAAAUAAUGAAGUAUAUAUUGUGAAUUUUUAUCUAUAAAAGUACGCUACUAUACUAAUUGGUGUUAAUGAGAUAAUAUUAUCUAGAAAAUGAUAAAUCGUCUUGUCAAAGAAUUUAUAUUUUUAGGAGAAUGAAAUAUUUUGGUAUAUCGAGAGAAUGAUUAUGAACAUGAUUUUAAAAUUUAUAAAUUAUUUAUAAAAUGCUCGGCUGUAUCUUUAUCUUUGAUGUGAGUGAAUUUUAAGUGUGAAGUUUGGUUGAUAUUUCUUUAAUAGAAUUACGUCAAUUUGUGAUAUAUUUGUGAUAUAAAUUGUACAAGAAAAUGGAAAUAAAGUGUAUAUUAACAGAUAACAGUUAAAUAUAUUAUUAAUUUUGACAAAAAAAAUUUUGUUAGUCAAAAUUAUGAACGUUUUUAUUCCAUGAGAUAAAUUUUCCAAUAGUUGAUCGAAGUUUUCGCCUCUUUAUCCCAAGAAGAAGAUUCUUGUGCACAAUCGAUUAUUCACGAUGAGCGGCAAUAAAAAGGGAAAAGUCACGACUCGUGCGCCAAUGCACGAGCGCGCAAGAACUCAACUGAUUAUCUAAUAUCGUGCCAUCUAAGUAUAUAUAUUCACCAUGAAGAGGAUCUUCUGAAUGGAGAAAUAACUUAACGAAACCUGAUCAACAGAAAUUUCACUGAAAAUAUGUAUUGAGAAUAAAAUUGAGAACAAAAGUUGAUGCGAUCGAUUUCGACGCCAUUUUUCUAAUCUUUUACAUCAUAAUCGAAAAAUCAUGCUACUUGUAUACGAAUACAUUCUUGUUUUUGUAUUUUUAUUGUAAAAAAAAAACUAAUAUCUAUUAAUAUAAUGGUAAUAUAAUAAACAAAGUAAGAUAGUAAUGAUAUAAGUAACAACAUUUGAUAUAAUUUGUUACAUUUUUAGAAAAUAUAAAAUUAAUGAUUUUUUGGAGUUAGAAAAUAAUAACUUAUAAAAUAACUUACAAAUAAGACAUCAAAAGUUCUAUAAAGAAUAAAUAAAAUAUCUGAAUAAUAGACAUAAAUCAAUUAUACGUAAUUUCAUCUAGGGAUAAACAUGUUUUAUCCAUUGACAAAUCCUGUUUUUACAUUCUUACCAUAAUUUUACGGCUUAAAGAAGACAUUUGAUACACACUAAUUGAAUAUAUAUAUAUAUAUGUAUAAUAUAUAUUGUAUAAUAUAAUAUAUGUAUGUAUAGUAUAUAUAAUAUAAAUAUUUUUAAAAUUAAUAUUUCACUCUUUUAAAUCAUGAUAUUAUAAAUAUUAUUUAUGUAAGA
This is a long non-coding RNA of Apis cerana (Asiatic honeybee), 4454 nucleotides long. RefSeq lists it as uncharacterized. NCBI's taxonomy places the organism in Eukaryota, Metazoa, Arthropoda, Insecta, Hymenoptera, Apidae. The record is from RefSeq and is a predicted model, not a curated record.